GAUGAACGCUGGCGGCAGGCCUAACACAUGCAAGUCGAGCGCGCCUUCGGGUGAGCGGCGGACGGGUUAGUAACGCGUGGGAACGUGCCCUUCUCUACGGAAUAGCCUCUGGAAACGGAGAGUAAUACCGUAUACGCCCUUUGGGGGAAAGAUUUAUCGGAGAAGGAUCGGCCCGCGUUAGAUUAGGUAGUUGGUGGGGUAACGGCCUACCAAGCCUACGAUCUAUAGCUGGUUUUAGAGGAUGAUCAGCAACACUGGGACUGAGACACGGCCCAGACUCCUACGGGAGGCAGCAGUGGGGAAUUUUCCGCAAUGGGCGAAAGCCUGACGGAGCAACGCCGCGUGAGGGAUGAAGGCCUCUGGGCUGUAAACCUCUUUUAUCAAGGAAGAAGAUCUGACGGUACUUGAUGAAUAAGCCACGGCUAAUUCCGUG
Molecule: ribosomal RNA, 433 nt
Filed under: uncultured bacterium
Lineage: Bacteria
Description: bacterial SSU rRNA
Rfam family: Bacterial small subunit ribosomal RNA
Source: RNAcentral